This 508-nucleotide ribosomal RNA is filed under the name uncultured bacterium. RNAcentral's name for it is "bacterial SSU rRNA". It matches the Rfam family "Bacterial small subunit ribosomal RNA", at positions 8 to 507 of the family's 1533-position model. The record is from RNAcentral.
AGAGUUUGAUCCUGGCUCAGAGUGAACGCUGGCGGCAGGCCUAAUACAUGCAAGUCGAACGGCAGCACAGCAGAGCUUGCUCUGUGGGUGGCGAGUGGCGGACGGGUGAGGAAUACGUGGGAAUCUGCCCAGUCGUGGGGAUAACGUAGGGAAACUUACGCUAAUACCGCAUGCGCCCUUCGGGGGAAAGCCGGGGACCUUCGGGCCUGGCGCGAUUGGAUGAGCCCACGUCGGAUUAGCUAGUUGGCGGGUAAAGGCCCACCAAGGCGACGAUCCGUAGCUGGUCUGAGAGGAUGAUCAGCCACACUGGAACUGAGACACGGUCCAGACUCCUACGGGAGGCAGCAGUAGGAAAUAUUGGACAAUGGGCGCAAGCCUGAUCCAGCCAUGCCGCGUGAGUGAAGAAGGCCCUCGGGUUGUAAAGCUCUUUUGUCCGGAAAGAAAAGCGCCGGGUUAAUACCCUGGUGUCCUGACGGUACCGGAAGAAUAAGCACCGGCUAACUUCGUG